CACGUACUCCCUCCGUCCAAAAAUACUUGUCAUCAAAAUGGAUAAAAAGAAAUGUAUCUACAAUUAAAAUACAUCUAGAUACAUCCCUUUUUCUCCAUUUUGAUGACAAGUAUUUCCGGACGGAGAGUAGUACGUA
Non-coding RNA from Triticum aestivum (bread wheat), 136 nucleotides. Lineage: Eukaryota; Viridiplantae; Streptophyta; Magnoliopsida; Poales; Poaceae. The record is from Rfam.